AGUUGCCUCCUCUUGAACUUUUUGCAAGGAUUUUAGAAAGAAAAGUUGCCAAGAAAAAGGCAUUGAGCACACCAGGGAAUGAGGGAAAGAAGAAGCCAAUUUUGAUGAUUUAUUUCUUCCCCCUCCAAAGUAAUUUCGGAAAGCGCAUUGGUCGUGUCAUAUAGUCAAACUUUGGAUUGGAGCAAAAAAGCUCUCUCUGAGACUAAGUAAUCAUGUACACGUACUAAGCUACAUGGCAACAUAGUUGUUCCCUUCCUCAAUCAUGGGAGCAUUCAGCACAGCUCAACUAGGUUGCUUGUUCAUUCUUUGGGGAUUAUAUAAAUAUAUAUAUGUAAUCUAUAUAUAUAUAUAUAUAUAUAUAUAUAUAUUGAUACUAUCUAAAGAACCAGUUUAGAGUUGUUUGUUAAAUAAUCUAGGUUGGAAUUUAUGCUAUUUAUACUACAUGGUAAAAUUCUGGUUUUGCUGGACAUCAUCACCCUGAAUUCUCCCUUUUCUACACCACCACUACUCAUUUUUUUCAUCUCUUGUUCUUUUCACCUUGCUGGCUGGGAAGUGAAGUCUGGCUAAUAGAGGCCGUGGUGCUCGUGUUGUUCGGUCAAAUCCUCUCACACAAACA
Long non-coding RNA from Cannabis sativa, 616 nucleotides. RefSeq lists it as uncharacterized. Lineage: Eukaryota; Viridiplantae; Streptophyta; Magnoliopsida; Rosales; Cannabaceae. The transcript has 2 exons. The record is from RefSeq and is a predicted model, not a curated record.